This 120-nucleotide unclassified non-coding RNA is filed under the name uncultured soil eukaryote. RNAcentral describes it as "sequence contains ITS2". The record is from RNAcentral.
AUUCUUGUUGUCGUCACAGUCUUUCGACAACGUGCAUAGUUGCUGUCAGUGUAACGGUAACUGAAGUUUAUUAGUAGUAGCUUAUUGGUAGUGAAACAAGCUUUUUCUAAUUUUUUGAAA